AACGAACGCUGGCGGCACGUUUUAAGCAUGCAAGUCGAAUGGCAGCAGGGGGCAACUCUGUGAGAAUGGCGAACGGGUGAGUAACACGUAGGUGAUCUGCCUUGAGGAUGGGGAUAGCCUGUGGAAACACAGGGUAAUACCGAAUGAGCUGACGAGACUUUGGUUUUGUUAGUAAAGGUGCUACGGCACCGCCUUGAGAGGAGCCUGCGGCUGAUUAGCUAGUUGGUGGGGUAAGAGCUUACCAAGGCGACGAUCAGUAGCCGGCCUGAGAGGGUGUAAGGCCACACUGGAACUGAGACACGGGCCAGACUCCUACAGGAGGCAGCAGCUAAGAAUCUUCCGCAAUGGGCGAAAGCCUGACGGAGCGAUGCCGCGUUAUCGAUGAAGGUCGAGAGAUUGUAAAGAUCUUUUCUACAUGAGGAAUAAGUCUGGGAGGGAAUGCCCGGAUGAUGACGUUAGUGUAGGAAUAAGCCCCGGCUAAUUACGUGCCAGCAGCCGCCGUAA
Molecule: ribosomal RNA, 504 nt
Filed under: uncultured bacterium
Lineage: Bacteria
Description: partial 16S ribosomal RNA
Rfam family: Bacterial small subunit ribosomal RNA
Source: RNAcentral